This 70-nucleotide transfer RNA is filed under the name Mesocricetus auratus (golden hamster). It matches the Rfam family "tRNA". Rfam says of the family: Transfer RNA (tRNA) molecules are approximately 80 nucleotides in length. Lineage: Eukaryota; Metazoa; Chordata; Mammalia; Rodentia; Cricetidae. The record is from Rfam by way of RNAcentral.
GGAAACAUGGCUCAGCGGUCAAGAGCACUGGCUGCGUCUCCAGGGGGCACAGGUUCUAUUCCUGUGUCCA